AUUGAACGCUGGCGGCAUGCCUUACACAUGCAAGUCGAACGGCAGCGGACCUUCGGGUGCCGGCGAGUGGCGAACGGGUGAGUAAUAUAUCGGAACGUACCUUUCAGUGGGGGAUAACGUAGCGAAAGUUACGCUAAUACCGCAUAUUCUGUGAGCAGGAAAGCAGGGGAUCGCAAGACCUUGCGCUGAUUGAGCGGCCGAUAUCAGAUUAGCUAGUUGGUGAGGUAAAGGCUCACCAAGGCGACGAUCUGUAGCGGGUCUGAGAGGAUGAUCCGCCACACUGGAACUGAGACACGGUCCAGACUCCUACGGGAGGCAGCAGUGGGGGAUUUUGGACAAUGGGCGCAAGCCUGAUCCAGCCAUGCCGCGUGAGUGAAGAAGGCC
RNAcentral lists this ribosomal RNA (384 nucleotides) under uncultured bacterium. RNAcentral describes it as "bacterial SSU rRNA". It matches the Rfam family "Bacterial small subunit ribosomal RNA", at positions 30 to 416 of the family's 1533-position model. The record is from RNAcentral.